GUGGCCAUGUAGCUUCUUUUCAUCUGGUGAAAAGAUGAGGGCUUUGCUAUGAAGCAGAGCUGGACUUGGAGCAGAAGGGUUUAUCAGCUCUUCCCUUGGUUCAUCAUGUAGGGGAAUUCUGUGGGAGGCAAUGCCAAAGGCCUUACUGAAGUCAGGGAAUAUGUCCACUGCUUUCCUCUGAUCAAGCAAGCCAGCCAUUUAUCAUGGGAGAUUGUCAAGUUGGUCAAGUGACUGACGCUUCAGGAAGACAACAAAUGGGCCCAAAGACAUGAAUCGGGACUCCACUGCCUGACUGUUCCUUGUAUAACGGUGUGACUUGUGCAUCCCUGCCACCAUCCAACCCACUCAGACCAGCUGUUACCCUGUCCUUUGGCACACAGCUGGGUGAUACCUAGGGAACUCAGUGUUGG
Molecule: long non-coding RNA, 410 nt
Organism: Poecile atricapillus (Black-capped chickadee)
Lineage: Eukaryota; Metazoa; Chordata; Aves; Passeriformes; Paridae
Exons: 3
Source: RefSeq, a predicted model, not a curated record